GACGAACGCUGGCGGCGUGCUUAACACACGCAAGUCGAACGGAAAGGCCCUGCUUUUGUGGGGUGCUCGAGUGGCGAACGGGUGAGUAACACGUGAGUAACCUGCCCUUGACUUUGGGAUAACUUCAGGAAACUGGGGCUAAUACCGGAUAGGAGCUCCUGCUGCAUGGUGGGGGUUGGAAAGUUUCGGCGGUUGGGGAUGGACUCGCGGCUUAUCAGCUUGUUGGUGGGGUAGUGGCUUACCAAGGCUUUGACGGGUAGCCGGCCUGAGAGGGUGACCGGCCACAUUGGGACUGGGAUACGGCCCAGACUCCUACGGGAGGCAGAAGUGGGGAAUAUUGCACAAUGGGCGGAAGCCUGAUGCAGCAACGCCGCGUGCGGGAUGACGGCCUUCGGGUUGUAAACCGCUUUCGCCUGUGACGAAGCGUGAGUGACGGUAAUGGGUAAAGAAGCACCGGCUAACUACGU
This 467-nucleotide ribosomal RNA is filed under the name uncultured bacterium. Its description in RNAcentral is "partial 16S ribosomal RNA". It matches the Rfam family "Bacterial small subunit ribosomal RNA", at positions 28 to 506 of the family's 1533-position model. The record is from RNAcentral.